RNAcentral lists this ribosomal RNA (442 nucleotides) under uncultured soil bacterium. Its description in RNAcentral is "bacterial SSU rRNA". It matches the Rfam family "Bacterial small subunit ribosomal RNA", at positions 26 to 496 of the family's 1533-position model. The record is from RNAcentral.
AGAACGAACGCUGGCGGCAUGCCUAACACAUGCAAGUCGAACGAGACCUUCGGGUCUAGUGGCGCACGGGUGCGUAACGCGUGGGAAUCUGCCCUUGGGUUCGGAAUAACAGCGAGAAAUUGCUGCUAAUACCGGAUGAUGACGUAAGUCCAAAGAUUUAUCGCCCAAGGAUGAGCCCGCGUAGGAUUAGCUUGUUGGUGAGGUAAGAGCUCACCAAGCGACGAUCCUUAGCUGGUCUGAGAGGAUGAUCAGCCACACUGGGACUGAGACACGGCCCAGACUCCACGGGAGGCAGCGAGUGGGGAAUAGUGGACAAGUGGGACGAAAGCCUGAUCCGAGCAAGUGCCGGCGUGAGUGAGUGAAGGGUCCUUAAGGGGUUAGUAAAGUCGUUACCGUUUUACCCGGGAUUACGGUAAUUAAGUGUAACGUAAGGUAACCCGGG